This 433-nucleotide ribosomal RNA is filed under the name uncultured bacterium. RNAcentral describes it as "partial 16S ribosomal RNA". It matches the Rfam family "Bacterial small subunit ribosomal RNA", at positions 29 to 507 of the family's 1533-position model. The record is from RNAcentral.
AGCGAACGCUGGCGGCAGGCUUAACACAUGCAAGUCGAACGCAUCCUUCGGGGUGAGUGGCAGACGGGUGAGUAACACGUGGGAACGUACCCUUCGAUCUGGGAUAACUUCGGGAAACUGGAGCUAAUACCGGAUACGCCCUUUUGGGGAAAGGUUUACUGUCGAAGGAUCGGCCCGCGUCUGAUUAGCUAGUUGGUGGGGUAACGGCCUACCAAGGCGACGAUCAGUAGCUGGUCUGAGAGGAUGAUCAGCCACACUGGGACUGAGACACGGCCCAGACUCCUACGGGAGGCAGCAGUGGGGAAUAUUGGACAAUGGGCGCAAGCCUGAUCCAGCCAUGCCGCGUGAGUGAUGAAGGCCUUUGGGUUGUAAAGCUCUUUUGUCCGGGACGAUAAUGACGGUACCGGAAGAAUAAGCCCCGGCUAACUUCGUG